GCACUGCUGACGAAUCUCAAGCAGGACGAAACAGCUGUCCAGUGC
RNAcentral lists this non-coding RNA (45 nucleotides) under Echinostoma caproni. The record is from RNAcentral. Lineage: Eukaryota; Metazoa; Platyhelminthes; Trematoda; Plagiorchiida; Echinostomatidae.